GUGAGUGGCGAACUGGUGAGUAACACGUGGGAAACCUGCCCAGAAGCGGGGGAUAACACCUGGAAACAGAUGCUAAUACCGCAUAACAACUUGGACCGCAUGGUCCGAGUUUGAAAGAUGGCUUCGGCUAUCACUUUUGGAUGGUCCCGCGGCGUAUUAGCUAGAUGGUGGGGUAACGGCUCACCAUGGCAAUGAUACGUAGCCGACCUGAGAGGGUAAUCGGCCACAUUGGGACUGAGACACGGCCCAAACUCCUACGGGAGGCAGCAGUAGGGAAUCUUCCACAAUGGACGAAAGUCUGAUGGAGCAACGCCGCGUGAGUGAAGAAGGGUUUCGGCUCGUAAAACUCUGUUGUUAAAGAAGAACAUAUCUGAGAGUAACUGUUCAGGUAUUGACGGUAUUUAACCAGAAAGCCACGGCUAACUACGUGCCAGCAGCCGCGGUAAUACGUAGGUGGCAAGCGUUGUCCGGAUUUAUUGGGCGUAAAGCGAGCGCAGGCGGUUUUUUAAGUCUGAUGUGAAAGCCUUCGGCUCAACCGAAGAAGUGCAUCGGAAACUGGGAAACUUGAGUGCAGAAGAGGACAGUGGAACUCCAUGUGUAGCGGUGAAAUGCGUAGAUAUAUGGAAGAACACCAGUGGCGAAGGCGGCUGUCUGGUCUGUAACUGACGCUGAGGCUCGAAAGUAUGGGUAGCAAACAGGAUUAGAUACCCUGGUAGUCCAUACCGUAAACGAUGAAUGCUAAGUGUUGGAGGGUUUCCGCCCUUCAGUGCUGCAGCUAACGCAUUAAGCAUUCCGCCUGGGGAGUACGGCCGCAAGGCUGAAACUCAAAGGAAUUGACGGGGGCCCGCACAAGCGGUGGAGCAUGUGGUUUAAUUCGAAGCUACGCGAAGAACCUUACCAGGUCUUGACAUACUAUGCAAAUCUAAGAGAUUAGACGUUCCCUUCGGGGACAUGGAUACAGGUGGUGCAUGGUUGUCGUCAGCUCGUGUCGUGAGAUGUUGGGUUAAGUCCCGCAACGAGCGCAACCCUUAUUAUCAGUUGCCAGCAUUAAGUUGGGCACUCUGGUGAGACUGCCGGUGACAAACCGGAGGAAGGUGGGGAUGACGUCAAAUCAUCAUGCCCCUUAUGACCUGGGCUACACACGUGCUACAAUGGAUGGUACAACGAGUUGCGAACUCGCGAGAGUAAGCUAAUCUCUUAAAGCCAUUCUCAGUUCGGAUUGUAGGCUGCAACUCGCCUACAUGAAGUCGGAAUCGCUAGUAAUCGCGGAUCAGCAUGCCGCGGUGAAUACGUUCCCGGGCCUUGUACACACCGCCCGUCAC
This 1322-nucleotide ribosomal RNA is filed under the name Lactiplantibacillus plantarum. Its description in RNAcentral is "bacterial SSU rRNA". It matches the Rfam family "Bacterial small subunit ribosomal RNA", at positions 91 to 1400 of the family's 1533-position model. Lineage: Bacteria; Bacillati; Bacillota; Bacilli; Lactobacillales; Lactobacillaceae. The record is from RNAcentral.